This 440-nucleotide long non-coding RNA is filed under the name Mytilus galloprovincialis (Mediterranean mussel). The record is from RNAcentral. Lineage: Eukaryota; Metazoa; Mollusca; Bivalvia; Mytilida; Mytilidae.
AGUAAAUGGGCGUUUACUUUCGCGUUUACUUCGCGUUAACGCGAAAAAGGCGUGUCUUCUAUCUUUUAAAAAAAAGUAAACGCCCGUUUACAGUUUGUAGUAAACGCGCGUUAACGCAGAUUGUCCUCGUAUCCUGGAUACACUGACCUAAUAUAUCACAUGAUAAGGUACAUUAAAAUAUCCAUCUGUCCAUUUUCGAUCAACAUAUUGGCAAUUGCAUUUAAUGAAAUGAGACCUCUUUAAUUAAUUUAUUGAAAAUUAAUCAUUGCAUAUAAGAACAAAAUGGAAAUUCGUCCUGGAACUGUAAAACCUACAAGACUUUCAGUUUACAUUCGUGAGAGGAUAUUAAGUUUUGGAAUAUUUAAUUUUGGCAUAUUUAUUUUUAAAUAUGCCGGUUUAACUGUGAGUCGAUAUUUGUACAUGUAAAUUUUGAACAGAAA